Molecule: long non-coding RNA, 363 nt
Filed under: Numida meleagris (helmeted guineafowl)
Lineage: Eukaryota; Metazoa; Chordata; Aves; Galliformes; Numididae
Description: lncRNA (ENSNMEG00000009803.1)
Source: RNAcentral
UUGGCCUUACCUAAAGCUUUGCUCAAGCACUAUUUCUUGUGUAAUGUGCUGCAUCUGCUGCUGAACUGUGAUGGAAACACAGGUUGCUGCCCUUCAUCUCCAGCAAGGCACUGGCUGAGUCAUUGCUCCCAGUACACUAGUGCUGGCAUCUACCCUUGGCAAAGAGCACAAAGAGCAUCUCCCCACUCUCAGCCUCAUCUUGGUUCCAAUGCUGUGCUCCGUCAGGCCUGGAGAGAUACAAGCUGGAGACCACUCUGGGUGCUGCAGCCGAUGUCUUUGAGAGCACUUGUCCACAGUGACCAGAUCUCCAUUUAUGGUUUCUUUACUGGAAGAGCAGGAUCAGUUUACGGGCAGCUAAAGUAA